RNAcentral lists this ribosomal RNA (440 nucleotides) under uncultured bacterium. RNAcentral's name for it is "partial 16S ribosomal RNA". It matches the Rfam family "Bacterial small subunit ribosomal RNA", at positions 338 to 795 of the family's 1533-position model. The record is from RNAcentral.
CCUACGGGAGGCAGCAGUGGGGGAUAUUGCACAAUGGGGGAAACCCUGAUGCAGCAACGCCGCGUGGGUGAAGAAGCGCCUCGGCGCGUAAAGCCCUGUCAGCAGGGAAGAAAAUGACGGUACCUGAAGAAGAAGCUCCGGCUAACUACGUGCCAGCGGCCGCGGUAAUACGUAGGGGGCAAGCGUUAUCCGGAUUUACGGGGUGUAAAGGGGGAGCAGACGGCGAUGCAAGCCAGGAGUGAAAGCCCGGGGCCCAACCCCUGGACUGCUCUUGGAACUGCGUGGCUAGAGUGCAGGAGUGGCAGGCGGAAUUCCUGGUGUAGCGGUGAAAUGCGUAGAUAUCAGGAGGAACACCGGUGGCGAAGGCGGCCUGCUGGACUGCAACUGACGUUGAGGCCCGAAAGCGUGGGGAGCAAACAGGAUUAGAUACCCGAGUAGUC